GACAGUUUGUCCGAGUGGUCUAAGGCGCUGGCUUCAGGCGUCAAUCCGCAAAGGCGUGGGUUCGAAUCCCACAGCUCUUA
Molecule: non-coding RNA, 80 nt
Organism: Perkinsus marinus ATCC 50983
Lineage: Eukaryota; Perkinsozoa; Perkinsida; Perkinsidae
Source: Rfam